Molecule: ribosomal RNA, 490 nt
Filed under: uncultured bacterium
Lineage: Bacteria
Description: partial 16S ribosomal RNA
Rfam family: Bacterial small subunit ribosomal RNA
Source: RNAcentral
GAUGAACGCUGUCUACAGGCUUAACACAUGCAAGUCGAGGGGAAACGACGGGGAAGCUUGCUUCCCCGGGCGUCGACCGGCGCACGGGUGAGUAACGCGUAUCCAACCUGCCUCUGACUGAGGGAUAACCCGUCGAAAGUCGGCCUAAUACCUCAUGGCAUCGUCUGCGGGCAUCCAACGACGAUUAAAGAUUUCAUCGGUCAGGGAUGGGGAUGCGUCUGAUUAGCUUGUUGGCGGGGUAACGGCCCACCAAGGCUACGAUCAGUAGGGGUUCUGAGAGGAAGGUCCCCCACAUUGGAACUGAGACACGGUCCAAACUCCUACGGGAGGCAGCAGUGAGGAAUAUUGGUCAAUGGGCGGGAGCCUGAACCAGCCAAGUAGCGUGCAGGAUGACGGCCCUAUGGGUUGUAAACUGCUUUUAUGCGGGGAUAAAGUGAGGGACGUGUCCUUCAUUGCAGGUACCGCAUGAAUAAGGACCGGCUAAUUCCGU